Anolis carolinensis (green anole) is the source of this 495-nucleotide long non-coding RNA. RefSeq lists it as uncharacterized. The record is from RefSeq and is a predicted model, not a curated record. Lineage: Eukaryota; Metazoa; Chordata; Lepidosauria; Squamata; Anolidae. The transcript is spliced from 2 exons.
AGAGCUGUUAAUACCAGCAUUGAAGAACCGGCUGCUAUGACAACGGGGGCGGAGCCAACCGCCAUUUGGAAAGGAAAAGGGGAAUGUUUUAAAACCCAGUUUCAGUCUGUGAUUUUUAGUCGCAGGAAGAAGACUGAUUCUCAUGUGGAGGAUCAGGGUGACUCAAAUAAAAGAAUUUGAGUCAGUCUGUGAUUUUAAAUCACAGGGAGCAGUCUGGUUUCAAGACUGAAGGGAACCAGAAGGACAGACCUCUAUUAGGCCAGACUAAGCAAGUUAGGGGACUUGUUUAGGGUCAUUUACAGAGGCUGUGGAUUAGGGAAAGUUAAUCCCAGUAGAUCCAGGAGGAUCAGGUUUUAGUUUAGCUGAGAGGAAGAAGUAUUUUGAAAGUUUGAACACCUCAUAUCUGUUUGUAACCAUUAAGCUAAGUGCCUUUAAAAAGUUAUAAGAAACCAUCAAGCUCUGUUCAAGCAAUAAACUUGUUUUGAUUUAAUUCCA